This 285-nucleotide long non-coding RNA is filed under the name Homo sapiens (human). Its description in RNAcentral is "HSALNT0406869". Lineage: Eukaryota; Metazoa; Chordata; Mammalia; Primates; Hominidae. The record is from RNAcentral.
ACAGAGCAGCUGGACAUGGGGGAGCUUGCAGCGUCAGCAAAUCAUGGACACUCACCCUGCUACCCAGAGAGAAAAGGGACCCCUGGAGACUUGAGCAAAAGAAAAAUGCUGGUACAUUUUUACCCCAGGAGGCACAGCCACCCCAGAGCCACACAGCAAUGGAUACUUAAGAAUAAGACACAAGAAGGUAGCCACCUGCAAACCAAAAGGAGAGUCCUUUCCAGACCCUGGAUCUGCUGGCACCCAGAUCUUGGACUUCCAGCCUCCAGAACCAUGAGAAAUUGA